Molecule: ribosomal RNA, 495 nt
Filed under: uncultured bacterium
Lineage: Bacteria
Description: partial 16S ribosomal RNA
Rfam family: Bacterial small subunit ribosomal RNA
Source: RNAcentral
GAUGAACGCUGGCGGCGUGCCUAAUACAUGCAAGUAGAACGCUGAAGGAGGAGCUUGCUCUUCUGGAUGAGUUGCGAACGGGUGAGUAACGCGUAGGUAACCUGCCUGGUAGCGGGGGAUAACUAUUGGAAACGAUAGCUAAUACCGCAUGACAACAGUUAUUGCAUGAUAACUGUUUAAAAGGGGCAACUGCUCCACUACCAGAUGGACCUGCGUUGUAUUAGCUAGUUGGUGAGGUAACGGCUCACCAAGGCGACGAUACAUAGCCGACCUGAGAGGGUGAGCGGCCAAACUGGGACUGAGACACGGCCCAGACUCCUACGGGAGGCAGCAGUAGGGAAUCUUCGGCAAUGGACGGAAGUCUGAUCGAGCAACGCCGCGUGAGUGAAGAAGGUUUUCGGAUCGUAAAGCUCUGUUGUAAGAGAAGAACGAGUGUGAGAGUGGAAAGUUCACACUGUGACGGUAUCUUACCAGAAAGGGACGGCUAACUACGUG